CAUAUAUCGUGCUGUCAGGAUUCAAUCAACGUACAAAAUCAUUGAGAAGGCUACGACAGCAACCACAAGAUGAUGAUAUACGUAAGGAGGAGGAUUUUGUGCAAGAGGCAAAUGUGUUGAUGCAGAAGGAGCAUGUACAGGAUGAUAAUGACUUUGUAUAGGAGGAUGAAUGAUCAUAGCAUUUGGGCACAUGUUUCUAGCUCUUUAGUUUGGCCAUAGCUUAAGCUUUGGAUAUUGGAUUGACGCAUACGAGCAGGCGUUGGAAAGCUAAAAAUCAGAGCUACAACAUUUGUCUUGGAAGAAAAGACCAUUUCCGAACUUUACUGGGCCUAAAUUAAAGAUUGUGAAAUCUAGACUUUGUAAUAAUUUUAAAUAGCGGGCCAUUUAUUUAUAAACCCUAAAGCCCAAUAUUGAGUACUAAAUAUUGGCAGUUUUGUUUCUUUUCUACAUAACGAAAUAUUAGGAUUUAGAUUGCUACAA
Molecule: non-coding RNA, 480 nt
Organism: Cicer arietinum (chickpea)
Lineage: Eukaryota; Viridiplantae; Streptophyta; Magnoliopsida; Fabales; Fabaceae
Source: RefSeq, a predicted model, not a curated record